This is a non-coding RNA of Phrynosoma platyrhinos (Desert horned lizard), 71 nucleotides long. The record is from the annotation of a GenBank genome assembly. NCBI's taxonomy places the organism in Eukaryota, Metazoa, Chordata, Lepidosauria, Squamata, Phrynosomatidae.
GCCAGUAUGGUAUAGUGGUAAAGCAUUGGACUAUGACUCUGGAGACCAGGGUUCAAAUCCCCACUCAGCCA